GAUGAACGCUGGCGGCGUGCUUAACACAUGCAAGUCGAACGAGAAAUGUAGACGGACACCUUCGGGCGGAAGCCUUCAUUUCGAGUGGCGGACGGGUGAGUAACGCGUGGGUAACCUGCCUCAUACAGGGGGAUAACAGUUGGAAACGACUGUUAAUACCGCAUAAGACCACAGCAUCGCAUGAUGCGGGGGUAAAAACUCCGGUGGUAUGAGAUGGACCCGCGUUCGAUUAGCCAGUUGGCGGGGUACGGCCCACCAAAGCGACGAUCGAUAGCCGAUCUGAGAGGAUGACCGGCCACAUUGGGACUGAGACACGGCCCAAACUCCUACGGGAGGCAGCAGUGGGGAAUAUUGCACAAUGGGGGAAACCCUGAUGCAGCGACGCCGCGUGAGUGAAGAAGUACUUCGGUAUGUAAAGCUCUAUCAGCAGGGAAGAAAAUGACGGUACCUGAGUAAGAAGCCCCGGCUAACUACGU
This 476-nucleotide ribosomal RNA is filed under the name uncultured bacterium. RNAcentral's name for it is "partial 16S ribosomal RNA". It matches the Rfam family "Bacterial small subunit ribosomal RNA", at positions 28 to 506 of the family's 1533-position model. The record is from RNAcentral.